GAUGAACGCUAGCGGCAGGCUUAACACAUGCAAGUCGAGGGGUAUAGUUCUUCGGAAUUAGAGACCGGCGCACGGGUGCGUAACGCGUAUGCAAUCUACCUUUCACAGAGGGAUAGCCCCAGAGAAAUUUGGAUUAAUACCUCAUAGUAUAGCAGUUUCGCAUGAAACCACUAUUAAAGUCACAACGGUGAAAGAUGAGCAUGCGUCCCAUUAGCUAGUUGGUAAGGUAACGGCUUACCAAGGCAACGAUGGGUAGGGGUCCUGAGAGGGAGAUCCCCCACACUGGUACUGAGACACGGACCAGACUCCUACGGGAGGCAGCAGUGAGGAAUAUUGGACAAUGGGCGCAAGCCUGAUCCAGCCAUGCCGCGUGCAGGAUGACGGUCCUAUGGAUUGUAAACUGCUUUAUUACAGGAAGAAACACUACUUCGUGAAGUAGCUUGACGGUACUGUAAGAAUAAGGAAUCGGCUAACUCCGUGCCAGCAGCCG
This 490-nucleotide ribosomal RNA is filed under the name uncultured bacterium. RNAcentral's name for it is "bacterial SSU rRNA". It matches the Rfam family "Bacterial small subunit ribosomal RNA", at positions 28 to 517 of the family's 1533-position model. The record is from RNAcentral.